UAGACUAUACUUUCAGGGAUCAUUUCUAUAGUGUGUUACUAGAGAAGUUUCUCUGAAUGUGUAGAGCACCAGGAAUGAUUGGGAGAUAAAAUGGAAAUAGUAAU
Molecule: small nucleolar RNA, 104 nt
Organism: Callithrix jacchus (white-tufted-ear marmoset)
Lineage: Eukaryota; Metazoa; Chordata; Mammalia; Primates; Cebidae
Gene: U3
Rfam family: Small nucleolar RNA U3
About the family: Small nucleolar RNAs (snoRNAs) are involved in the processing and modification of rRNA in the nucleolus. There are two main classes of snoRNAs: the box C/D class, and the box H/ACA class.
Source: Ensembl